Molecule: long non-coding RNA, 289 nt
Organism: Gossypium arboreum
Lineage: Eukaryota; Viridiplantae; Streptophyta; Magnoliopsida; Malvales; Malvaceae
Exons: 2
Source: RefSeq, a predicted model, not a curated record
CUGGUACGGGGGUGUUAUGGAUGAAUCUGGGUUGGGUUUCUGCAUAAACAUGUAAACCCCAACCAUAGUAGGCUUGGAGCUGUGAGGGAAUUCGGAGUGGCCACAUGUUCUGCAAAUUCCUGUUUUCUUCCGGUGAAUUGGACAUCUUUUCUUUUAUUUUUAUGAUUUGGGUUUUAAGUUGUAAUAAGGCCGCUUAAUUAUUUUUUAUGGUUUUGAUAUGUUUUAUUAAGAUAGGUAUUACUUAUAUUAACUGUUGGAAUUGGAUAGCUUUAGGGCGCGUUUUCAAAAA